AGCGGCGGACGGGUGAGUAACGCGUGGGCAACCUGCCCCAUACAGGGGGACAACGGCCGGAAACGGCCGCUAAUACCGCAUGAUUCCUCUUGGCCGCAUGGCCGGGAGGGGAAAGCCGAGACGGUAUGGGAUGGACCCGCGUCUGAUUAGCUGGUUGGCGAGGUAACGGCUCACCAAGGCGACGAUCAGUAGCCGGCCUGAGAGGGCGACCGGCCACAUUGGGACUGAGACACGGCCCAAACUCCUACGGGAGGCAGCAGUGGGGAAUAUUGCACAAUGGGGGAAACCCUGAUGCAGCGACGCCGCGUGAAGGACGAAGUAUUUCGGUACGUAAACUUCUAUCAGCAGGGAAGAAAAUGACGGUACCUGACCAAGAAGCCCCGGCUAACUACGUGCCAGCAGCCGCGGUAAUACGUAGGGGGCAAGCGUUAUCCGGAUUUACUGGGUGUAAAGGGAGCGUAGACGGCCAUGCAAGUCUGAUGUGAAAACCCGGGGCUCAACCCCGGGACUGCAUUGGAAACUGUGCGGCUGGAGUGUCGGAAAGGCAAGUGGAAUUCCUAGUGUAGCGGUGAAUUGCGUAGAUAUUAGGAGGUACACCAGUGGCGAAGGCGGCUUGCUGGACNACNACUGACGUUGAGGCUCGAAAGCGUGGGGAGCAAACAGGAUUAGAUACCCUGGUA
RNAcentral lists this ribosomal RNA (680 nucleotides) under uncultured bacterium. Its description in RNAcentral is "bacterial SSU rRNA". It matches the Rfam family "Bacterial small subunit ribosomal RNA", at positions 94 to 792 of the family's 1533-position model. The record is from RNAcentral.